RNAcentral lists this ribosomal RNA (1821 nucleotides) under Triticum aestivum (bread wheat). RNAcentral describes it as "partial small subunit ribosomal RNA". Lineage: Eukaryota; Viridiplantae; Streptophyta; Magnoliopsida; Poales; Poaceae. The record is from RNAcentral.
AUGCUCUUAAACCCCCUUUUUUCUAAGGGAAUCUUAAACCCUUUCUUCUUUCAUUAUGUGCAAUCUCUGCUUGCUUUCCCAUACGAGUUCCAUCGACGCUCGACGGCCAACACCGACACACAUGCUGUCCCAAUGCACCCAGCGCGUGCUCCUGCCAUCGUCGCCUCUCGCCUCCUCGUCCGCGACAACCAGCGCAUCACCGCCCUCGCCCGCGCUGGCGACCUGGCCGCGGCGCGCCGGGUGUUCGACGCCAUGCCCCGCCGCGACGUCGUCUCCUGGAACGCGCUCCUCACCGCGCUCUGGCGCGUCGGCCGGGACCUGCCCGCGGCGCGCCGCCUCUUCGACGACAUGCCGUCCCGCAACGUUAUCUCCUGGAACUCCGUCGUCGCAGGCUGCCUCGCGCAUGGCGACCUGGCUGCCGCCUCCGCCUACUUCGCGCGUACCCCGCGUCGCAACGUGGCCUCGUGGAACGCCAUGCUUGCCGGGCUCGUCCGGCUCGGCUGCAUGAACGACGCGGAGAGGCUGUUCGGUGAAAUGCCUGAGCGGAACGUGGUGUCGUACACCACCAUGGUUGAUGGGCUCGCGCGACGUGGGGAGGUGGGUAGGGCGCGUGCGGUGUUUGACGAAAUGCCUGAGAGGAACUUAGUGUCGUGGGCAGCGAUGAUAAGUGGGUAUGUUGACAACAGCAUGCUCGACGAGGCAAGAAAACUGUUUGCAGCGAUGCCAGAGAAGAAUGUCAUGGCAUCCACCGCCAUGAUCACUGGAUAUUGCAAGGAAGGAGAUGUGGGGAGCGCCAGGAAGCUUUUUGAUGAGAUUUAUGUCAAAGAUGUCAUCUCGUGGAACGCCAUGAUUGCAGGUUAUGUUCAUAAUGGAUACGGAGAAGAAGCUUUGAAAUUGCACAUCAUAAUGCUCAGAGAAGGUACAAAACCAGAUCAUGCGACUCUUAUUGCAACCCUGACAGCAUGCUCUGCUCUUGCUUUGCUCAGACAAGGAAGAUCAACACAUGCUGUUGCCGUCAAAACAAUGUUAGAAUCUAGCACAUCUUUUUGUAAUGCUUUGAUCACAAUGUAUAGCAAGUGUGGUGAUGUCAGUGAGUCAGAGUUGGUCUUCAUAAACCUUAAAAGCCAGGACAUUGUUUCGUGGAACACAAUGAUCGCGGCAUAUGCACAACAUGGCAAAUAUCAGAAAGCUAUUUCUCUCUUCCAUGAGAUGGAAACACGUGGGCUAAUACCGAACGAUAUUACCAUCCUUAGUGUGCUAUCAGCAUGUGGGCAUGUUGGCAGGGUGGAUGACAGCUUGGAACUAUUUGAUCUUAUGUCAUUCAAAUACGCGAUAUGUCCAGGAGCUGAACACUAUGCUUGUAUUAUCGAUAUAUUGGGACGAGCAGGACAGUUCGAGAAAGCUUGUAGUUACAUAAAAGACAUGCCAUUUGAAUCUGAGAAGAAUGUUUGGGGUGCAUUGUUGGGGGCUUCCAAGACUCAUGGCAAUGUGCAGUUGGGUGAACUUGCGGCGAAAAUGCUUGUGCAGUCAGACUCAGGAAGUUCAGGGCCUUAUGUGAUGCUUUCAAAUAUAUAUGCUGCUGCUGGCAUGUGGGGUGAAGUCAAUCGAAUAAGAGGUCAAAUGAAGGAAAAAGGUGUGAAGAAACAACCUGGAUACAGCUGGACUGAAAUUGCUAAUAGAGUUCAUAUGUUUGUGGGUGGUGAUGCAUCUCAUCCAGAGAUGAACAAGAUCAUAUCUGAGCUGAGAAAAAUCAGCUUUCAUAUGCAAAUGAUGGCCAAUGAAACUCAUACAAUGGUAGAGAUGUCCCAGGAAUCUAGAUAG